GAUGAACGCUGGCGGCGUGCCUAAUACAUGCAAGUCGAGCGAACAGACGAGGAGCUUGCUCCUCUUACGUUAGCGGCGGACGGGUGAGUAACACGUGGAUAACCUACCUAUAAGACUGGGAUAACUUCGGGAAACCGGAGCUAAUACCGGAUAAUAUAUUGAACCGCAUGGUUCAAUAGUGAAAGACGGUUUUGCUGUCACUUAUAGAUGGAUCCGCGCCGCAUUAGCUAGUUGGUAAGGUAACGGCUUACCAAGGCGACGAUGCGUAGCCGACCUGAGAGGGUGAGCGGCCACACUGGAACUGAGACACGGUCCAGACUCAUACGGGAGGCAGCAGUAGGGAAUCUUCCGCAAUGGGCGAAAGCCUGACGGAGCAACGCCGCGUGAGUGAUGAAGGUCUUCGGAUCGUAAAACUCUGUUAUUAGGGAAGAACAAAUGUGUAAGUAACUAUGCACGUCUUGACGGUACCUAAUCAGAAAGCCACGGCUAACUACGUG
RNAcentral lists this ribosomal RNA (497 nucleotides) under uncultured bacterium. Its description in RNAcentral is "partial 16S ribosomal RNA". It matches the Rfam family "Bacterial small subunit ribosomal RNA", at positions 28 to 507 of the family's 1533-position model. The record is from RNAcentral.